This 186-nucleotide small RNA is filed under the name Mytilus galloprovincialis (Mediterranean mussel). Lineage: Eukaryota; Metazoa; Mollusca; Bivalvia; Mytilida; Mytilidae. The record is from RNAcentral.
GGCAAACAUUUGCAGCAAGUUUGCAGCAAACAUUGCCGCAAGCUUGCAGCAAACAUAAACUUACCGCAACCAUUUUACCAUGCAAAUGAAGUUUGCAGCAAGCUUGCUGCAAACAUAAUUAUGCAAAUUAGAUUUGCCGCAAGCUUGCGGCAAUUGUUUGCUGCAAGCUUGCGGCAAAUGUUUGUU